UGGGGAAUAUUGCGCAAUGGGGGGAACCCUNNNNCAGCCAUGCCGCGUGAAUGAAGAAGGCCUUCGGGUUGUAAAGUUCUUUCGGUAUUGAGGAAGGUUGAUGUGUUAAUAGCACAUCAAAUUGACGUUAAAUACAGAAGAAGCACCGGCUAACUCCGUGCCUGCAGCCGCGGUAAUACGGAGGGUGCGAGCGUUAAUCGGAAUAACUGGGCGUAAAGGGCACGCAGGCGGUUAUUUAAGUGAGGUGUGAAAGCCCUGGGCUUAACCUAGGAAUUGCAUUUCAGACUGGGUAACUAGAGUACUUUAGGGAGGGGUAGAAUUCCACGUGUAGCGGUGAAAUGCGUAGAGAUGUGGAGGAAUACCGAAGGCGAAGGCAGCCCCUUGGGAAUGUACUGACGCUCAUGUGCGAAAGCGUGGGGAGCAAACAGGAUUAGAUACCCUGGUAGUCCACGCUGUAAACGCUGUCGAUUUGGGGGUUGGGGUUUAACUCUGGCGCCCGUAGCUAACGUGAUAAAUCGACCGCCUGGGGAGUACGGCCGCAAGGUUA
RNAcentral lists this ribosomal RNA (547 nucleotides) under uncultured bacterium. RNAcentral's name for it is "bacterial SSU rRNA". It matches the Rfam family "Bacterial small subunit ribosomal RNA", at positions 355 to 896 of the family's 1533-position model. The record is from RNAcentral.